GUUACUCUGGAUAAACACAGUUGAUCGCACGACUUUACGUCGGCGACGUAUCUUUCAAGCGUAUGCCCUAUCAGCUGUCGACGGUAGGGUAGCGGCCUACCGUGGCAUCAACGGGUAACGGGGGAUCAGGGUCCGAUCCCGGAGAGUAAGCCUGAGAGACGGCUUACACAUCUAAGGAAGGCAGCAGGCGCGCAAAUUACCCAAUGGGGAAACCCUGAGGUAGUGACAAGAAAUAACAAUACGCGACUCUUUCGAGGCCGCGUAAUUGGAAUGAGCACAGUCUAAAUCCUUUAGCGAGGAUCAAUUGGAGGGCAAGUCUGGUGCCAGCAGCCGCGGUAAUUCCAGCUCCAAUAGCGUAUAUUAAAGUUGCUGCAGUUAAAAAGCUCGUAGUUGACAAUCGGCGCUCGUCUCGGUGGUCCUGUUCACUCAAGCACUGCCUUGACGGCCUCUACACACUGGCUUGAGGUCGU
RNAcentral lists this ribosomal RNA (470 nucleotides) under Spirobranchus sp. 150316_05P14. RNAcentral describes it as "bacterial SSU rRNA". It matches the Rfam family "Eukaryotic small subunit ribosomal RNA", at positions 246 to 713 of the family's 1831-position model. Lineage: Eukaryota; Metazoa; Annelida; Polychaeta; Sabellida; Serpulidae. The record is from RNAcentral.